This 1222-nucleotide long non-coding RNA is filed under the name Gallus gallus (chicken). RNAcentral describes it as "lncRNA (ENSGALG00010008569.1)". The record is from RNAcentral. Lineage: Eukaryota; Metazoa; Chordata; Aves; Galliformes; Phasianidae.
CAAGGCAGAUAUUCUUAUCUGUGGAUGAGUAAAAGAUCAAGGGACAACGCUGUAGCAGGAGUUUGGCAUUACACUCCUCAGUACAUCUCUUUUACGGAGAUGGGAAGAGUGUAUUCAGAGGAGUUGGGUUCCACCUACUCUUUUCUCCGCAUUUAAUCUGUGCAGCAACAUACAGAAUAUUCUACUGUUGAUAGCUGUGGUAUACAUAAUUCUUACUGGCAAAGCAAUGAUUUAAGAGUGAGAAAGGAAUGCAAAAAUCUGUAAAAAGAGAAUGCAAAAUAUACUGACAAAACCUUGGUUCCAUCUCACACAAUUACACAAAACACAGCUUUCCAAGGGGAUUAAUAUGGGUUUAUCAGCCAGUCCCAGAGUAAGACAUUAGAAAAGUUUAUAGCAAAAGGAAAACAAAUAUUAAGAAGUCCUGGAAUAAGCCAUCUCUUGUUUCACUCUGAUGCUUACACUUGCAGAAUGUUGAUUUACCGCUGCAGCACCAGGUCUGAUCCUUCUUUGGAUUAGCACUGAAAAAAUGUAUUAGUUAGACAGUUGUAGUAAAUGAGCCUCAAGCUUUUUCUUUUUUAUUCAUGGCUGGUUAGGUGUGCGGGUCACGUUCUAGCCUCAUUAGUGAAUAGUGGCAACUUAAGUCUAGUUAUUAAUUCUCCAGAUUGCAAGCUGAUGCAACUGAAGCCCAACAGUACUGACAUAAUGUUGGCUGAGUGUAGCAGGACUUAUUCUUUUGUUUCUUCAUGAAAAAAUGUCUUGUUGAAAAAAAAACCAAAAACUACUUGAAGCUAGACAGGUUCACAUGAGCUAACCUUACACCUGGAGUAUAAGGAACUGGAAAAGUUCAGUGCUUGACAAUUUCCAUUUUUAUUUUUUUAAUUUUGAGUAAUUAUUCGAGAAUUCUGGAAAGCCACAGGUCUAAUUUUUCCCUGGAGAAUCUAAAAACAAAUUUAAUAAACUGAAACACAUAAAACAUACUUCCUGUUCUCCCCAGGAAGUGAAUUUCUGCUUGAGUUCUAUGGGUUUUGCUAUCUUUAAUUACCAACACCUUUUAUUUGCAAGAUGUAAUCUCCAUCUAGUUUACUUGUAAAUGCUUCAAUAGUCGUAGCCUUCUACAAGCAUAAAUAUUGUAUUCAUCGUGUAUCAUUUCCAGGUAAAAACUUUCAGGGGACAACUAUAAAUGUUCAUUAUUUAUUAAUGUAUGACAAAAGUUGUAUUAAAA